GCCUCUUUAGCUCAGUGGUAGAGCGUGUCACUCGUAAGUCACUUACAUAUCAUGACAAGGUCGUCGGAUCAAUCCCGACAGGAGGCA
RNAcentral lists this transfer RNA (87 nucleotides) under Penicillium italicum. It matches the Rfam family "tRNA". From Rfam's summary of the family: Transfer RNA (tRNA) molecules are approximately 80 nucleotides in length. Their secondary structure includes four short double-helical elements and three loops (D, anti-codon, and T loops). Further hydrogen bonds mediate the characteristic L-shaped molecular structure. tRNAs have two regions of fundamental functional importance: the anti-codon, which is responsible for specific mRNA codon recognition, and the 3' end, to which the tRNAs corresponding amino acid is attached (by aminoacyl-tRNA synthetases). tRNAs cope with the degeneracy of the genetic code in two manners: having more than one tRNA (with a specific anti-codon) for a particular amino acid; and 'wobble' base-pairing, i.e. permitting non-standard base-pairing at the 3rd anti-codon position. The record is from Rfam by way of RNAcentral. Lineage: Eukaryota; Fungi; Ascomycota; Eurotiomycetes; Eurotiales; Aspergillaceae.